This is a long non-coding RNA of Eucalyptus grandis, 397 nucleotides long. RefSeq lists it as uncharacterized. The transcript is spliced from 2 exons. Lineage: Eukaryota; Viridiplantae; Streptophyta; Magnoliopsida; Myrtales; Myrtaceae. The record is from RefSeq and is a predicted model, not a curated record.
UGCUUCUUGGAAGGAUUUGCUAAUGUUACGGAGAAGUUAUAAAAUGAAGAAAGAACUUCACUUGGGCAACAGCAUCAAUGUUAGUGCAGCAAAGGUUCCAUCUGUGACAAGAGAACAGACCUAUCUAGCUUCUCCAAGGGAGCUGUGGCGUUUUUGGGCAGUUGUAUAGAUGGAGACCCAAGCAAAAGGCAGAUGAUGGAUGAAACUUGAAGCUGACCGUAUUCCCUCUCAUAAUCUUGGGGUGGUAAACACUGUAUUCGUCUGUUUUGGGGGGUAAAAGGGCCAUUUAGGCAAAUCUAAUUGUGUUUUUUCCUUUAUUGUGGGCCCACAAAAAUGAUUAUUACAUUUCAUCUAAUGUGUGUUCUGUUCAUUGUUAUGUCAUAGAACUUGCUUAUCA